RNAcentral lists this ribosomal RNA (497 nucleotides) under uncultured bacterium. RNAcentral describes it as "partial 16S ribosomal RNA". It matches the Rfam family "Bacterial small subunit ribosomal RNA", at positions 28 to 507 of the family's 1533-position model. The record is from RNAcentral.
GACGAACGCUGGCGGCGUGCCUAAUACAUGCAAGUUGAGCGCUGAAGGUUGGUACUUGUACCAACUGGAUGAGCAGCGAACGGGUGAGUAACGCGUGGGGAAUCUGCCUUUGAGCGGGGGACAACAUUUGGAAACGAAUGCUAAUACCGCAUAAAAACUUUAAACACAAGUUUUAAGUUUGAAAGAUGCAAUUGCAUCACUCAAAGAUGAUCCCGCGUUGUAUUAGCUAGUUGGUGAGGUAAAGGCUCACCAAGGCGAUGAUACAUAGCCGACCUGAGAGGGUGAUCGGCCACAUUGGGACUGAGACACGGCCCAAACCCCUACGGGAGGCAGCAGUAGGGAAUCUUCGGCAAUGGACGAAAGUCUGACCGAGCAACGCCGCGUGAGUGAAGAAGGUUUUCGGAUCGUAAAACUCUGUUGGUAGAGAAGAACGUUGGUGAGAGUGGAAAGCUCAUCAAGUGACGGUAACUACACAGAAAGGGACGGCUAACUACGUG